UCUGGGGUUUGGGAAAAUAAUCCAGUCUUACCCCAAAACAGCUCUGUUGAGUUUUCCUCUGUUUUGUUGCCAGCUCUCCCUCCUGCAGGAACAUCUCUGCGUCUCUCAGCCGGCUUCACGUUAUCUUGUUGCUCCUGGCUACCUUUUGGCUUUCAACCACUGUUGUCUCUGUUCAGGACUGCUCCACUGCCGCUUUCAGUGUCUUCUGCUGCUGCUGACAGUAAGGAAACUUUUCCAGCUCUUGAUUACAGGACCCGGUCCAGCACUGACACUAUACCGGGUCUCCCGUGACCUCAGCUGGGGGCUGGGGGCCCUUGGCCCACAGAGGGGCUCACUGGCCCCCUGCUUCCUCGUGGCUCAGAUCAUGGCUACCCUCCUUCUACACUCCCUUCACUACCUUCUCUUCCGUUUCUGUGGGUGUGUAAUUUCCGUAGGGCGCACGUGGACUAUUGAUUGGUCCAGUAUUAUCAGUGGGGCAAACCAUGACUACCUCAGAGAAAAGGUUUUUCAAACCACCACAAUAUGGAAGGGAUACAUUUUGUAAAGUAUCUGGACUUUUAGAAAGCCUUUUUUUUUUUUUUUUUGCAGAUACAGGUAGACUGUCUUCAAAUAAUGUCAUGUUUAUGUGCUACUUCUGUAUAAAUUUGAGUUUACCCAGGCUAUUUGUGAAGUGGCUUGUUAUUUUGAUAAUCUGUGUAUAUAGAUACAUGUGCCUUUUAUUUGUGGAAAAGGGCAGUAUUUUCAUAUAAAUCCAUUUCAUUCGAUGUCCCAUUUCACCAGGGAGAACCUGCAUUAAACUUUGAUUGUAUUUUGUACUUACUGAGUUUGUAGCAUUAACGGUUGGGAAUAUUGUAGAACUCACAUUUGACAACAGGAACAGCAGUAACAGGAGACUUCAGGUAUUUGUCGAGGAGAUUUUUGGGGCCUGUUUCUUGGUUUUGGGAACACAAAGGUUGAUGCUUGGCAAGGAUAGAAUAUUGUUAUUGUAGUGUAGGUCACAUUUUUAUGAAUUGAUGGAUGUCCUGCAGCAAACAGGGUUGAUGUGCAAAUGUGUGUGUUAGUGUGUUCUGGAACUUGGCUGUGUAACUGUCUGAUGGGAUCUGUGAGAACUAAGAGUUGGUGUUUAGAAAUGAUCUCAUACCUGAAGAACAACGGAGCAUAUCUGAAAUCCCAUGGGAAUUUUCAGUGUAGAGAGUCAAACCCACAGAUAUUGCACAGUCUGUUCCAAUGAAGGCAAGACCAGUCUGAGGAUAAUGAGGGGACUGAGCCUGUGAGACCCAAGACUUGUGUUCCUGAUGUUAAAUCCUGAAAUGUCUAAAGCUGCAACUUUUAACUGACCUGCUCUUCAAAAAAUAGCAAAAUUAAACAUUAAAAUUAAACCUCGCAGUGUCAGGAGCAGAUCUUGGCUGACCUGCAUGUUCCAUGCUAAAUACAAAUUUGAGCACUUCAGUCAUAAUAGUCUGCACCUUUCCUGGAUUGCCCUGAUGCUGUUUGUGCUGAACAGGUAUUACAAUAAAGGCACUUUUACCUGUCCCUUGUUUACUUUUCUGAGCUCUUUGGAGCUAUCUUUUCUUGUAAGAGCAGUAUAUGGUUAUCUAUGUUUGUCUGGUGGUAAUUUCUCAAGGGAUUUGUGUACAGGACGGGGCCUGAAUUUCUUGGGUGGUUUGCACAGGUUCUUUGAUAACACAUUCCCUGGUGAUACUUGAAAGUUUGUUAUAAAAUGUCUUUUGGAGCAUAUGCUGUCAUCUGUAAUGCUUGUUUGUUUUUUUUCAUUCAGGGAUGGGACUUGUGUAAUACUCACAGUCUAAUGCUUGGUCCUUAGGAUUUCUUUAUUAUUUUUAAUUUUAAUUUAUUAGGAUUUCUUUUUCCUUUUUAAUUUUAAUUCAAGUGUUUUAAUAUCCCAUUUUCCCUACAGAUGUGUGGAGGAAUUGAUUUGCUCACUGUAAGCAAAAUAGCUGCUCUUGGUCGAAGGACUGGCCUGUGUAGAACAGCAGAUUUCUUGCCAUGUUUCUCCUUCCAACUCUUCCUCAAAACUCUUCCUGUGCCAUCCACUGACGCCUUUCUAGCCCCCAAUCAUCUGCUCGAAUCUCUAAAACACGUGACUCAUGUUCCAUUUU
Long non-coding RNA from Corapipo altera (White-ruffed manakin), 2117 nucleotides. RefSeq lists it as uncharacterized. Lineage: Eukaryota; Metazoa; Chordata; Aves; Passeriformes; Pipridae. The record is from RefSeq and is a predicted model, not a curated record. The transcript has 2 exons.